GCGGAGCUGGCCCAGCGGGUGGCCUGGCGCGCCGGGACCGCGCUGGGCAGCCGGGACGAUGCCGAGGACGUGCCGAUCCCGGCGUCGGUCCCGGA
This 95-nucleotide transfer RNA is filed under the name Mycobacteroides abscessus subsp. abscessus. RNAcentral's name for it is "tRNA-Pro(ggg)". Lineage: Bacteria; Bacillati; Actinomycetota; Actinomycetes; Mycobacteriales; Mycobacteriaceae. The record is from RNAcentral.